RNAcentral lists this ribosomal RNA (253 nucleotides) under uncultured bacterium. Its description in RNAcentral is "partial 16S ribosomal RNA". It matches the Rfam family "Bacterial small subunit ribosomal RNA", at positions 524 to 776 of the family's 1533-position model. The record is from RNAcentral.
UACGUAGGUGGCAAGCGUUGUCCGGAAUUACUGGGUGUAAAGCGCGCGUAGGCGGUAGGCCAAGUCUGCUGUGAAAUCGCCCGGCUCAACUGGGCGCGGUCGGUGGAAACUGGUCAACUGGAGGACGGUAGAGGCGAGUGGAAUUCCCGGUGUAGUGGUGAAAUGCGUAGAGAUCGGGAGGAACACCAGUGGCGAAGGCGGCUCGCUGGGCCGGACCUGACGCUGAGGCGCGAAGGCCAGGGGAGCAAACGGG